GGACAUAGUCAUCAUGCCGUGCCCCACGGUGACCGGCAUCCCGAAUACCUGGGCACGCGCCGCCCAUUCCUCGUUGGUAUGGACCGGAUUCAUAUCCAGCGACGCAAGCGCAUAGUGAUCGAUCGCGGAUUGAACGUAAGACUGAGCGACACUCGGGAAAGCGUAACCGGUCUCAAUCUUGCUGAAAGUCGGAACAGACAUUUGAUGGACUCCUCGAUCAGGCGUUUGCGAAGCGGGCGACAUCCGCCUGCGUUUCAGGAAGGAUCAGCGAGCACCAC
This 278-nucleotide unclassified non-coding RNA is filed under the name Hevea brasiliensis (rubber tree). Lineage: Eukaryota; Viridiplantae; Streptophyta; Magnoliopsida; Malpighiales; Euphorbiaceae. The record is from RNAcentral.